GGGGGAAGGUAGCUUGCUACCGGACCUAGCGGCGGACGGGUGAGUAAUGCUUAGGAAUCUGCCUAUUAGUGGGGGACAACAUCUCGAAAGGGAUGCUAAUACCGCAUACGUCCUACGGGAGAAAGCAGGGGAUCUUCGGACCUUGCGCUAAUAGAUGAGCCUAAGUCGGAUUAGCUAGUUGGUGGGGUAAAGGCCUACCAAGGCGACGAUCUGUAGCGGGUCUGAGAGGAUGAUCCGCCACACUGGGACUGAGACACGGCCCAGACUCCUACGGGAGGCAGCAGUGGGGAAUAUUGGACAAUGGGGGGAACCCUGAUCCAGCCAUGCCGCGUGUGUGAAGAAGGCCUUAUGGUUGUAAAGCACUUUAAGCGAGGAGGAGGCUACUUUAGUUAAUACCUAGAGAUAGUGGACGUUACUCGCAGAAUAAGCACCGGCUAACUCUGUGCCAGCAGCCGCGGUAAUACAGAGGGUGCGAGCGUUAAUCGGAUUUACUGGGCGUAAAGCGUGCGUAGGCGGCUGGUGAGGGCCCAAAUGAAAUCCCUUAACUUUAAUUCUGGGAUACGGUACUCCACAGGCGGUCAACAUAUGGGGUGAACAGGAUGGUUAAAUCCCCCAGUGGCCCGAUGAGCUGGAAAAUGUCGUUGAGGGUUGGCAAUACCGGGAUCUCUCAUCGUGUUUGCUCCCAACGCUUUAGUACCAAAGCGUCGGUAUCACGCCAGAUCGAAGCCCCCGGUUUCGGUUUCCCCCAAAAUUUUUCCCAAUUCAGCGGGGCCCUGGGAGUUUUACGGGCCCCUCCAAACGGUUGUUCACCCUUCGGGAAGGUUUUGCCAAGUACACCAGGGGUAUUUUACUCGCAAGUAGCCCGCCCCCGCAGCCGAUUUUGCCGUUUAAUUUACUGAAACGGGGAGCACCCCCUUGGUCACGACGUAGGGGCUGCUUAAUGAAGGUUGUUUGCUGCCCGCAAGAAUCUCGAAUCAAGUUCUUGAAAGAAAAAAAGACCCCCCCGCCCCGGGAAAAUUUGGUUAAAUCCCAGAAAGGGGGUCUUACCCUUUCCCUUGGGGGGGGAAAGGUUUUGGCCCGCCCUUUUUAGGAACCCCCCCCUGGCCCCCCCGGGGGAAAGGGGGGGGGGAUUUGUUUUUCUUUUGGGGGUGGGAAGACCCGGGCCACAAAAAUUGUAAAACGGGGGGGGGAGGGUGGGGUCCCCCCCCCAGGGUUUUG
This 1218-nucleotide ribosomal RNA is filed under the name Acinetobacter baumannii. RNAcentral's name for it is "partial 16S ribosomal RNA". The stretch from base 1 to 750 matches the Rfam family "Bacterial small subunit ribosomal RNA". Lineage: Bacteria; Pseudomonadati; Pseudomonadota; Gammaproteobacteria; Moraxellales; Moraxellaceae. The record is from RNAcentral.